UACGUAGGGUGCGAGCGUUAAUCGGAAUUACUGGGCGUAAAGCGUGCGCAGGCGGUUGUGCAAGACAGAUGUGAAAUCCCCGGGCUCAACCUGGGAACUGCAUUUGUGACUGCACGGCUGGAGUGCGGCAGAGGGGGAUGGAAUUCCGCGUGUAGCAGUGAAAUGCGUAGAUAUGCGGAGGAACACCGAUGGCGAAGGCAGCCUCCUGGGCCAGCACUGACGCUCAUGCACGAAAGCGUGGGGAGCAAACAGG
This 253-nucleotide ribosomal RNA is filed under the name uncultured bacterium. Its description in RNAcentral is "partial 16S ribosomal RNA". It matches the Rfam family "Bacterial small subunit ribosomal RNA", at positions 524 to 776 of the family's 1533-position model. The record is from RNAcentral.